AUUGAACGCUGGCGGCAGGCCUAACACAUGCAAGUCGAAUGGUAACAGGAAACAGCUUGCUGUUUCGCUGACGAGUGGCGGACGGGUGAGUAAUGUCUGGGAAACUGCCUGAUGGAGGGGGAUAACUACUGGAAACGGUAGCUAAUACCGCAUAACGUCGCAAGACCAAAGAGGGGGACCUUCGGGCCUCUUGCCAUCAGAUGUGCCCAGAUGGGAUUAGCUAGUAGGUGGGGUAACGGCUCACCUAGGCGACGAUCCCUAGCUGGUCUGAGAGGAUGACCAGCCACACUGGAACUGAGACACGGUCCAGACUCCUAAGGGAGGCAGCAGUGGGGAAUAUUGCACAAUGGGCGCAAGCCUGAUGCAGCCAUGCCGCGUGUAUGAAGAAGGCCUUCGGGUUGUAAAGUACUUUCAGCGGGGAGGAAGGGAGUAAAGUUAAUACCUUUGCUCAUUGACGUUACCCGCAGAAGAAGCACCGGCUAACUCCGUG
RNAcentral lists this ribosomal RNA (490 nucleotides) under uncultured bacterium. Its description in RNAcentral is "partial 16S ribosomal RNA". It matches the Rfam family "Bacterial small subunit ribosomal RNA", at positions 30 to 507 of the family's 1533-position model. The record is from RNAcentral.